UACGUAGGUCGCAAGCGUUAUCCGGAUUUACUGGGCGUAAAGCGUCCGCAGCCGGUUACAUAAGUCUACUUUUAAAAACCAGUGCUCAACAUUGGAGAGGGAGUGGAUACUGUGUAACUCGAGACUAACAGAGGUGAGUAGAAUUUCCAGUGGAGGGGUGAAAUCCGUUGAUAUUGGAAGGAAUACCGAAAGCGAAGGCAGCUCACUAUGUUAAGUCUGACGGUAAGGGACGAAAGUUUGGGUAGCAAACGGG
Molecule: ribosomal RNA, 253 nt
Filed under: uncultured bacterium
Lineage: Bacteria
Description: partial 16S ribosomal RNA
Rfam family: Bacterial small subunit ribosomal RNA
Source: RNAcentral